This 497-nucleotide ribosomal RNA is filed under the name uncultured bacterium. RNAcentral describes it as "partial 16S ribosomal RNA". It matches the Rfam family "Bacterial small subunit ribosomal RNA", at positions 28 to 507 of the family's 1533-position model. The record is from RNAcentral.
GAUGAACGCUGGCGGCGUGCCUAAUACAUGCAAGUCGAGCGAACAGACGAGGAGCUUGCUCCUCUGACGUUAGCGGCGGACGGGUGAGUAACACGUGGAUAACCUACCUAUAAGACUGGGAUAACUUCGGGAAACCGGAGCUAAUACCGGAUAAUAUAUUGAACCGCAUGGUUCAAUAGUGAAAGACGGUUUUGCUGUCACUUAUAGAUGGAUCCGCGCCGCAUUAGCUAGUUGGUAAGGUAACGGCUUACCAAGGCAACGAGGCGUAGCCGACCUGAGAGGGUGAUCGGCCAGACUGUAUCUGAGACACGGUCCAGACUCCUGCGGGAGGCAGCAGUAGGGAAUCUUCCGCAAUGGGCGAAUGCCUGACGGAGCAACGCCGCGUGAGUGAUGAAGGUCUUCGGAUCGUAAAACUCUGUUAUUAGGGAAGAACAAAUGUGUAAGUAACUAUGCACGUCUUGACGGUACCUAAUCAGAAAGCCACGGCUAACUACGUG